This 775-nucleotide long non-coding RNA is filed under the name Oryza sativa (Asian cultivated rice). RNAcentral describes it as "long non-coding RNA (OSAT_LNC000965)". Lineage: Eukaryota; Viridiplantae; Streptophyta; Magnoliopsida; Poales; Poaceae. The record is from RNAcentral.
AGCCCUUAUCUUUCCAUGUAAAAUCAUGGAGAAUUCCUUUGAUGGCUUGUCAUAGUUGGUGAUGAAUACGUAGCGGUAAGUGCUUUGCCCACAUUUAUUUUCUUUCGUAUCAUCUAGAACAAUUAAUUCAUCAUCUAUGACUGAUCUUGCCAUGUCAUGCACAGGAUCAUGCAUGGUCAAUGUUACGAGUCUAUCAUCCUUUUGACUAAUCUGCACAAAGCAAGUUGUGUAUGGAAACGUCAAAUCGUCAAUUAUAAUCAUCCUAUUAUACUGUUUUGGUGACUUGAGAUGGAGAUUUGUUUCAAAAGUAAUAUACUACUUCAAAAACCUUAUAAUAUGUGGCUGUUUUAUCAUAUUAGAUGUGCCAAGGCAAAAUGAUUGAUGAUGUGCCAAGCAAAAUGAUCCAUCAUUUGAAAAAGACCCCCGCGUCGCCCACACGCAGGCGACAUGGGGGCGAACCCUACCACCGGCGCCGACCACCCUCGUCCCCUCCCCUACCUCGCCGCCGCCGGAGCUCACCGCCGGCAAAGCCGGCCGGCGAGCUAGGAAGGCGGCGGCGGGGCUUUCUCCGCAGUGGUGCCCCCUCUCAGGCGUGGGGGAGGUGGAGUUUUUUUGCCGGCGGCGGAGAGUGGCGGCGGCGAGGAAUCCCGGCCAGGCGGCGGUAGAUCCGGCACCGCCGUUGCCGGAUCUGGACGGUGCGCCGACGGUGGUGUCGUGGGGCGGCGCGAAGCGGAGGUGGCGCGGCUGGCGGUGGCCGCUGCAGCGUCUAGCGGCG